RNAcentral lists this ribosomal RNA (497 nucleotides) under uncultured bacterium. Its description in RNAcentral is "partial 16S ribosomal RNA". It matches the Rfam family "Bacterial small subunit ribosomal RNA", at positions 28 to 507 of the family's 1533-position model. The record is from RNAcentral.
GAUGAACGCUGGCGGCGUGCCUAAUACAUGCAAGUCGAGCGAACAGACGAGGAGCUUGCUCCUCUUACGUUAGCGGCGGACGGGUGAGUAACACGUGGAUAACCUACCUAUAAGACUGGGAUAACUUCGGGAAACCGGAGCUAAUACCGGAUAAUAUAUUGAACCGCAUGGUUCAAUAGUGAAAGACGGUUUUGCUGUCACUUAUAGAUGGAUCCUCGCCGCAUUAGCUAGUUGGUAAGGUAACGGCUUACCAAGGCAACGAUGCGUAGCCGACCUGAGAGGGUGAUCGGCCACACUGGAACUGAGACACGGUCCAGACUCCUACGGGAGGCAGCAGUAGGGAAUAUUGCGCAAUGGGCGAAAGCCUGACGGAGCAACGCCGCGUGAGUGAUGAAGGUCUUCGGAUCGUAAAACUCUGUUAUUAGGGAAGAACAAAUGUGUAAGUAAAUAUGCACGUCUUGACGGUACCUACUCAGAAAGCAACGGCUAACUACGUG